Molecule: ribosomal RNA, 447 nt
Filed under: uncultured bacterium
Lineage: Bacteria
Description: partial 16S ribosomal RNA
Rfam family: Bacterial small subunit ribosomal RNA
Source: RNAcentral
AACGAACGCUGGCGGCAGGCUUAACACAUGCAAGUCGAACGCCCCGCAAGGGGAGUGGCAGACGGGUGAGUAACGCGUGGGAAUCUACCCAUCUCUACGGAAUAACCCAGGGAAACUUGUGCUAAUACCGUAUACGCCCUACGGGGGAAAGAUUUAUCGGAGAUGGAUGAGCCCGCGUUGGAUUAGCUAGUUGGUGGGGUAACGGCCUACCAAGGCGACGAUCGGUAGCCGGUCUGAGAGGACGGCCGGCCACACGGGGACUGGGACACGGCCCCGACUCCUACGGGAGGCAGCAGCAAGGAAUAUUGGGCAAUGGCCGAAAGGCUGACCCAGCGACGCCGCGUGGGGGAGGACGGCCUUCGGGUUGUAAACCCCUUUUCCGAGAGAAGAGAAUGACGGUAUCUCGGGAAGAAGCCCCGGCUAACUACGUGCCAGCCGCCGCCGUAA